Molecule: long non-coding RNA, 1100 nt
Filed under: Lactuca sativa (garden lettuce)
Lineage: Eukaryota; Viridiplantae; Streptophyta; Magnoliopsida; Asterales; Asteraceae
Description: long non-coding RNA (LSAT_LNC009760)
Source: RNAcentral
UAUAAAACCACACAAAAACAUGUCAAAAAAUAUCAACUAAGAAGUUAAUACAAAAGUUUUUUUUUUUUUUAUGUAAAGAAGAAAGCAGAUACUAGCAAUAAAGCUGAAAUAGGUGGAGGGAAAUAAAGCAGAAAGCAAAUACUAGCAAUAAAUUUGAAAUAGGUGGAGGGAAAUAAAGCAGAAAGUAGAUACUAGCAAAAAUAUUGAAAUGGAAAUUGAUGGAGGGAAAUAUAGCAGAAUGCAGAUACUAGCAAAAAAUUUGAAAUAGGUGGAGGGAAAAUAAACGAAAAACAGAUACUAGCAAAAAAAUUGAAACGGGUGAAGGGAAAUAAAGAAUAAAGCAGAUACUAACAAUAAAUUUGAAAUAGGUGGAGGGAAAUAAAGCAGAAAGUAGAUACUAGCAAAAAUAUUGAAAUGGAAAUUGAUGGAGGGAAAUAUAGCAGAAUGCAGAUACUAGCAAAAAAUUUGAAAUAGGUGGAGGGAAAAUAAACGAAAAACAGAUACUAGCAAAAAAAUUGAAACGGGUGAAGGGAAAUAAAGAAUAAAGCAGAUACUAACAAUAAAUUUGAAAUAGGUGGAGGGAAAUAAAGCAAAAAGUAGAUACUAGCAAUAAAUUUGAAAUAGAUGGAGGGAAAUAAAACAUCAAGUUGAAAUGGUGGAGGGAAAAAAGUAGAAAACAGACACUAGCAAUAAAAUUGAAAUGCGUCAAGGGAAAUAAAGCAAAAAGGUAAAUACUAGCACUAAAGCAGAAGGCAGAUACUAGCAAUAAAGCUGUUGAAACGAGUGGAGAGAAAUAAAGCAUAAAGUUGAAAAGGGUGGAGGGACAUAAAUUUAAACUAGGUGGAGGGAAAUAAAGCAAAAAGCAAAUACUAGCAUUAAAGCAAAACGCAGAACAUAGAUACCACAAUAAAGCUGAAACGAGUGGAAAGAAAUAAAGCAAAAAAAAAAAAAAAACAGAUACUAGCAAUGAAGUUGAAAUGGUUGGUGGGAAAUAAAGCAAAAAGCAGAUACUAACAAUAAAGCUGAAAGUAAAAAGGGGACAAGAGUAAGCAGAUAAUAAAUACUAUAUGGAGAGAAAUGGUAGUGCAUAUAUUUCACCU